RNAcentral lists this ribosomal RNA (506 nucleotides) under uncultured bacterium. RNAcentral's name for it is "partial 16S ribosomal RNA". It matches the Rfam family "Bacterial small subunit ribosomal RNA", at positions 30 to 523 of the family's 1533-position model. The record is from RNAcentral.
AUUGAACGCUGGCGGCAGGCUUAACACAUGCAAGUCGAGCGGUAACAGAGAGAAGCUUGCUUCUCUGCUGACGAGCGGCGGACGGGUGAGUAAUGCCUAGGAAUCUGCCUAGUAGUGGGGGAUAACUUGCCGAAAGGUAAGCUAAUACCGCAUACGUUCUACGGGAGAAAGGAGGGGACCUUCGGGCCUUUCGCUAUUAGAUGAGCCUAGGUCGGAUUAGUUAGUUGGUGAGGUAAUGGCUCACCAAGACCGCGAUCCGUAACUGGUCUGGGAGGAUGAUCAGGCACACUGGAACCGAGAAACGGGCCGGACUCCGACGGGAGGCAGCAGUGGGGAAUAUUGGAAAAUGGGGGGAACCCUGAUCCGGCCAUGCCGCGUGUGUGAAGAAGGUCUUAGGAUUGUAAAGCACUUUAAGUUGGGAGGAAGAGCAGUUAACUAAUAUUUGACUGUGUUGACGUUACCGACAGAAUAAGCACCGGCUAACUUCGUGCCAGCCGCCGCAGUAA